AGGCAGACCAUGGGCGCUUGGGCGGCGUUUAGCAUUUGGAUAGAUGUGGAGGAGGGUGAAUGGGCGGGAUUUGUGGUAUGUCCGGGGUUGUUAUGUUUUAUUAAGUACCUUGUGCUUCACAAGAUCGACGUAUAGUCGAAGAAUUGAACCACGGACGCCUAUGUUAUAGGCAGCUUUGAAUGAGCCCACUCGCUGGGUCUACAUCACUGGGAUUUUCCACGGCUAGUUGAAAAUUCCCAGAGUUGGACAGGAUUUCCAAUAGUUCUUCCAUUUCGUGUCUGAUCGUGCAAGGGUUUACUUCUUGUUUCUACCGAGAUGAAGCGAUCACGGAGGAGCGAAUUGUGGAAUGAUUUCGCUAUUCUAGAUCAAGAGUAUGCGAAAUGUGGUUUACGCCAAAAAGUCGUACAGAACCAGCACGACGAACUUGAAGAAACAUGUCGAAAGGUCGCAUAUAAUGGUGAACUUUGCGACAAAUUCUUCAAGAUCCGUCGACCCUGUGUUGCCUGAGCCAGGUGAAGCCUCUCCUGCAGCGUAGCUGCCAGAAGGAGGCACAACAGCAGCAGGACACUGGGGGAAGCAGUUCCCUCCACAUCACAGCAUCGGAUAGCCAUCAGGGAAUAUGUCCCCAAAAAGAUGGGACUGAUUCAAAGGAAGGUCGACAGCAAAUUAAUGGGUCUGUUUACAAAAGAGUAUCAACCCUUCUCUGUUGUAAAUGACCUGGUAUUCCGUAGUUUUGUCCGUGCACUGAAUCCCGCUUAUGAAAUCCCAAGCAGAAGAGCUGUAACGUAAGUAAUGUUGCCAGCAGCAUAUGCCGAAGCAAAUGAGAAAGUACAUAAAAAGCUGCUAGGUAUGAAGACAAUCUGUUUAACAACAGAUUGUUGGACAUCAGCUUACAAUGCCUAUGACUGGUCACUUCAUAACUGAACACUUCAAAUUACAGUCUGUACUGCUGGAAUGCAGUCCUUUCAGAUAAACGUAGUCUUGGUGGCAAAAUUUUAAUGGCAGUCAGACAAUGCACCAAAUGUGAAAAAUGCAGUUUCCACCCUUCUCAAGUGAAAACAUUUUGGUUGUUAUGUCCGUAUGCUUAAUUUAGCUGUGCAAGAUGCGCUUAACAACAUUCAGGAAGUCCACCAGAUAGUGAAGACAAUUGUAGGUUUUUUUAAAAGAAUGAUAAGUGCAACAGAGUGGCUCUUAACAUGCCAACAGAACAGUGACAAAGUAAACAUUAAGAAAUUGAUACAGGGCUUGCCCACAAGAUGGAAUCCACUCUGUUUAUGUUGGAACAUCUUGUUGGAUUAUCAGAGGCAGUAAAAAUUACAGUUACCCUUUGUAACUGGCCCACAGAACUCCCAUUACUGUCAAAUGAUGAGUGGGAAAUCUGCUUCGAACUCUGUUCGAUUUUGAAACCAUUUGAACAGGUUUCGAAGCAGCUCAGUGCAGAAGACUAUCCGAGUCACAGCUUAGUUCUGACAUGUGACCUUCUGCCAGUGUGUGAUGGAGUUGCCAAAAUGCAGUUACAAGAAAUUUCAAUGAAAGUUGUUAAUGCACUGAAAGAGGGACUUACAACAGGUUACAGAAUCUUCAUCAGAGCAAAUCCAUUGCCCUUGCCACUCUGCUGGAUCCACGGUUCACAUUGCUGGCAUUUCAGAACCAACAGCAGCAGAUGACACGAAGAAACAGUUAGUUUAUAUUGUUGCCCAGAAACUAGAAGAAUGUAGACCAGAAGGUAUUCAACCUUCACAACAACCUGCUGAGCCAAAUAAUCUGACAACCGAGUCCUUCUCUGUGUGGGGCAUAUUUGGUGAGUUAGUGAAACAUGCACAGCCACGGGGGACAGUACAGCCGUGCUAUUGUAGAGGUCCAAAGAUAUGUUGACAGCUCAGCCAUCAGUAGAAAUGAGGAUCCCCUGGCAUGGUGGAGACAAAAUCAGUACAUUUACCCAGCCACCACAAAAGUAGUGCAAGAGAUUCAAUGUCGUUGCAACUUCUGCACCUUGUGAGAGGGUGUUUCCUAAUAACAGGAUAUUUAAUAAAUGAUAGAACCCAUUUCAAGCCAUCACAUAUCCAGAAACUAAUAUUUCUGAAUGUGAAUGGUACUUGUGAUUAGACACUGUUGCUGGUAAGUGACACAGCAUCAGAACACAGUACAGUCUUAAACUGUUCAUAAGCAGCAUAAUUGCAUUUGAUUACAUAGAGGUAACUAGGUACUUUCAACACAACCAAACAAGACUGCACAACUGUAUGAUUCCUAGCAAAAUGUAAAAUAUGUGAGUAUUUGUGUCAAAUAUGUAGAGGAAACUAUUUACUCUUCUUGUGCACAUGUUGCCAUGUAGAAACUUGUGAACUUAUUUGUAUUUUGAUUACAUGUAGGUAACGGGUCACUUUCAACACAAAAAGACCUCGUAACUGUAUAAUGCCUAGCAAAACGUAAAAUAUGCGAGUAUUCUGAUGUUUUGUAAUUCAUGUUAAGAAUAAUUUUUGCAGGAAUAAGUUAUUUAGGAUGUAUGGAAUAUAACUAGGAACAUGAGUGAAAUGAAAUGUU
Long non-coding RNA from Schistocerca americana (American grasshopper), 2541 nucleotides. RefSeq lists it as uncharacterized. The record is from RefSeq and is a predicted model, not a curated record. The transcript is spliced from 3 exons. NCBI's taxonomy places the organism in Eukaryota, Metazoa, Arthropoda, Insecta, Orthoptera, Acrididae.